AGUUAUGUAGAAUCCACUCUGUAUUGUAAAUAUAUAUUGAAAUAAUGACUGCACUAAAAUCAUCAAAUGUAAUAAGUAAAGAUGUCGGUUCAACUAAAGCUUUCAACAUUAUUUGUAUUUCAUUUAGUGGACAUCUUACGAAAUCAAGAUGCUUUUUACUCAAAGUUUACACAGAAAAGAAAUACACGGAUUUACUAUUAACUAAAAUACGGGAAAUAAUACCAGGGGAUAUCUUGAAAAUUAGAGCUUCUCCAGCUGCUUGGUCAUUAUGUGAUUGCAACUCAACUGUGUCAAAACAACCUCCGAAUCAAAUGUGGAUCGCGAGGAAUAGAACCAAGCUUGAAUCAUCGAUAUCAUCGACAGAAUUUUGACACAAGUUGAUUCUUUCACUAGACUAGGAUUUGGAAAACCACCACAGCGAGUGCAGAGCCCGUUCUUGCCGUAAUCAUUUCUUUGAGAAGUCAGAUCUCAAGAUAAAGAAGGUUAUACGUGGUCUAGCUAUUAAAUAACGAGACUGGUUACGAAAAAUUAUUAUACAUCCGGAUGCUCCCCUUCAAUAUACUCCCAGCCCCUCCCCACACACCUCUCCAUACGUUUUUUUCAUUGAUCGAAGCAGUGCUGGAAGUCUUCUUUGGUGAGGACCUUCAGGAGCUUCUAAUUUACCACUUCCAUCCAUUUAAAUCGGGUCCGUUCAAAAGCAGAUCUUUUUCUAACUUUUCAAGGAAAUCUGAGCAUCUUUUACGCAAGAACUUUUGGUUAGGAGUAGAUUUUUUGACACCAACUUCGUAUAGACUUUUGCCAUGUGUAAUUCCUCGUGUAAAGUUUGUAUUUAUCGACGUUUACAGCUUCGACAAUCAUCCUGAUACUCAUUCGAAAAUCUGCACGCACAAUUUCGUUGAUUUUGGUCACUGUUGACCAGUUCCCAGGGCGACAUGGGCGCUGGUUUUCACACCACCCGUCUAGAUCGUCCUCUAGGCGCGCAGUCUCGUUAUUUAAUAGCCAGACCUCGUAUACAUGAGCCUUUUGGGUGUCUUACCAACCACUGGUGACUGGUAUUUGAAUUGGAGAUGAUUAUAUAAAAUGCCAUCUCCGUGGAUAAUCCAUUGAUGCAUGUACAUACCUCAUUAAAUUAGAUUUUUGAAAGAU
This is a long non-coding RNA of Diorhabda sublineata, 1146 nucleotides long. RefSeq lists it as uncharacterized. The record is from RefSeq and is a predicted model, not a curated record. Lineage: Eukaryota; Metazoa; Arthropoda; Insecta; Coleoptera; Chrysomelidae. The transcript is spliced from 2 exons.